Molecule: transfer RNA, 65 nt
Filed under: Modiolus philippinarum
Lineage: Eukaryota; Metazoa; Mollusca; Bivalvia; Mytilida; Modiolidae
Description: tRNA-Lys
Source: RNAcentral
GAGGGUGAAGCUUUUGUAUUGAAGUAUUGGGUUUUUGCCCCAACUAAGCCGCAAGGUCGCCUUUC